This is an RNA transcript of Mercenaria mercenaria, 6724 nucleotides long. RefSeq lists it as uncharacterized. The transcript has 4 exons. The record is from RefSeq and is a predicted model, not a curated record. Lineage: Eukaryota; Metazoa; Mollusca; Bivalvia; Venerida; Veneridae.
UCAUUUAAAGUCUUUCUUUUUCAAGCAUACAGUUCCAUUUCUAAACUUUAUAAUUGAAAGGUCAAUUCAUACUUGCUUACUGUUGAUUGAUCCAUAAGACUAGAAUUAAAUAUCUUCACGGUUCCCCUGGUUCUUUUACGUACCAGGUGCAAAACACCCACACACGGGACAUUAAAGCCAAUGUUGUAAUUUUGGUUGGAUGAGCGAGGGCUCAAACUCACGACACUUAGUUUCGUUGUCAGACAGUGUUACCACUGGACCACUGCGUCCGCUCUUACUGUUAUAUUACGGCCUCGUUCUGAUAUGUAGCCACGUGAAUUGGUACAUUAGUAAAAAUAGCAAUCGUCUAAUUCUAAAGUUACGGUCUUAUUUGUGUCAAGGUUAUUUGUCAGUGUGCCAAUCUGUGUAAAUAAGAAUGCGCAAGCACUUGAGAAUGUGUCGUAUUUUUUCCAUGGGUUUAGGUAUUUUUUUACCUUUACGCAUGUUCUAAUUUUCAUUCAUCUAUUUCAUUUCGGUGUGUGGCAUUAAUAGUUUGUUGUGUUAAGUGUCAAACCGACACAGUUCAGUUUAGAUUUUAUGGCAACUUUUUCAGCUUUGAUUCUGAAGGAAGAUCCCCGUGCCUCUCCGAACAUUCAUGGUACUGGCAGGCACUUUGGUGGAAAUACCAAACUUCUAGUAGCCAGCUGUAUGCCUUCCUUGCAUGAACAAUUCUGUACCCAGGGUUUCGAACCCAUUUAGUGAGAAGUAGGUGGUUCAAAUCAGCAACCUUAACCACUCUGCAACGGAGACCGCUGACAUUACUCGUCAAUAAAUCAUUUCUGAUAAUUGUAAAUAGUUCAAGAGAUUUUGGUUAAAUGUAUUGUGUCACAAUAACUUACGUGUCUACAAAAACAUUCUGAAAGUUUAAGUAGAACGUCUUGAAGCAUUCAGCACAAAAAGCAAAAAGUGCCAUAAACCGGGCUACUGCGUAGUAUUACUGCAACGAGUAUGAUUAAAUGGGACAAGGCAUGCGCCUCAACUGACGAAUCAAUAACGGCUGAAAUGUGUGCAGGUAAGAUUAUUACAUUUUAUAUUUAAUCCACAAUAAAUGUUAUAACAACUAUUAUAUUACUAAUUCUAAAGUUAAAUUAUUUAUCGACAAAAGCAUGCAAACUCAAUGUUCUAUGUCUUCCAAAUACACAUGUUUUGUAAUGAUAUCUGUAAUUAGAUUAAGUUGUUUACUCUUGAUAUUUUCAGGCAUUUCAUAUACCACUUUAAAUAUAAAUGAAUGUAAUUUCCAUUUAUUAAUAAGCAUUUUCUUUAGAGGUGUGCGUUUACUUUAACAGUCUGAUUGUUCCGGGGUUGUUUUUUUUUUCAAUAUAAUUCAGCUGUUUAACUUUUGCACAUUCAGUUACUUUGAAUAGAGACAACAAAUUUGUCCUUGCAUUAUUGAUUAGUUAACCUACUUAUCAUACAAAAAAAAGACUUGUGGAUUGUUCUGUUCAAUUAUUUCAGUUCGAGAUUUUUAUGAACCAACCAUGCUUCUUUAUUUAGUAACAUAAUCAAUAAUUUUGUUAGAUAAAGAAAUAUAUAGUACCGAUUAUAAGUCAGGACAGGUUAAUUACAGUUUACAUUAACAGAACAGAGGAUCAUUAUAUUUAUAUCACCGACAGUGAAUUUCUGGAAAAUCUGAGCAAAAAAGGUCUUAAAAAACAUAAACAGGACAAGUAUUUACAAAAAGAAUGGGGUGAAACAAUAAAAAAAGUUACAAAAAAAGAAAUUUAAUACCAACAACCAGAAAUCGUCACCAAGAAAAAUCAAGAAGAACAAAGAUAAGAAAACCACUCCAUCAUUGCAUAAGGAAAAUAACUCAUCUAUUUCUAUGGAUGUUUUAGAGCAGGUGAUAGAACAGUCGGUCCGGACCGCUAAUCUGCAAAAACAGUUAAUUGAAAGCCAGACAGCACAAGUAGAUUUACUACUGUCAGCAAAUAAUCUUGUAAGAGACAAAAUCAAACCAUAUGGUAACUGCUUUUUUGAAACUAGCGGGAAGCAAAUUGGCACAGAACCCUCUCAUUUAAGGCAGGAACUGUGUAAGUGUCUUGAAGAGAAUAUAGAAGAAUACAUUUCAUUUAUGUUAAACCGUCAUCACCCAGAUGAUGAGGAAACAUUUGUGGCUGAUUACUUGUCAGAAAUUGAAAAACUGAAAGUUGAUGGGUAUUGGACAAGUGCUGUGGCAGACCUUUUUUCCAUUAGUACUGGCAAAUUACUCAAAGUGCAAUGUUAUCGUCUACACAAAUAAUGUUGAACAGCCAAUCAUUACAAUUAAACCAACCAAAAAUGAUUCACUUGCCAUUCCAGUGUAAAAUUGGUUUAUACAUCAAUUCGGGUAAUUUUGCAACACUACGAUGGAUGCCUUGAAAUUCAAGACUCUGAUAAAUACUUUGCCUCUCCAUUAUCAGAUGAACAUUCCGACAAACAGGAAUAGAACAAGAAUACACCCACCACCAAUGAUAAAACAACUUCACCGAAAGGACCUACACCAAGAAAAAAGGCAGUUUUUAUAACGCCUGAGAAGAAGUUCCAUACUAGAAAGAGAAAAGCAACACCAGAAACAUGGAAAAAAAAAUAUUAGAAAAAAGUUACGGCUGUCAGGUGCAGAGUAUACAUCAGCAGAUGGAAAGCCCAAGGCCGCUAGGUCGGUAGAGCCAGUAGACUGUAGCAAGUGCAGACAGAAAUGUGACACAAAAAUAACAAUAGAACAAAGGCUACAGCUCUUUGAAUCAUUUUGGUCAUUGUCAAGUAAUGAGAGACAGAAAGAUUAUGUUUGUAAACAGAUAGAAGAAACAGACACUAAAACAUAUCUAGACAAAGAUGGAAAGCCAAAUCAAAAACGAAAGCAGGUGUCAAGAAAGUUUUAUUUUGAAAUUGAAAGUAAAAAGUGUUCUGUCUGCAAGACGUUCUUUAUGAAAACGUUGUCAAUCGGUAAGGCAUAUAUUGAUCAUGCGUUGAAAAACAAAAAGGACGGACAUUUUACAGGCAGUGAUUUAAGAGGAAAACACGAGCCUCAUAACAAACUUUCCCCAAGCAGAAUAGAUGCAGUGAAAAAGCAUAUUGAAUCUUUCCCACGUAUAGGUGCUUAUUAUGUUCGAAAGGAGACAAAGAGACAAUUCCUUGGGCCACAUCUUACACUGCCAAGAAUGUAUGACCUCUAACUGGAGGAGUGCAAGAAAAAUAAAACAAAGCCAGUUUUAUUGGAAAGAUACAGAAAUGUUUUUAAUACAAAUUACAACCUUUUUUUUCAUGUACCAAAGAAGGACCAGUGCAACACAUGUAAUCAGUAUUACACAGCACAGCGAGAAGGUAAAAUGACAAAUGAACAACAGAAUGUUUUCGACAAACAUCAGCAAAGGAAAAAGCAUCAGAAGUGGCUACCUGUCUAAAGCUACAUCUCCAAUCACUUCCAGCAGAAACAGACCAUGUGGCUUUGUACUCGGAUGCUUGUGGUGGACAAAAUAGAAAUAAAAUCAUAGCAGGUUGCUUACUGCAUUUGGUGAAUACCAUUCCAAACAUAAAAAUAAUAGACCAUAAAUUUCUAGAAAGCGGCCACACACAGAUGGAGGUGGAUUCAAUGCACGCAGCUGUCGAAUUUGCUAAAAAGAAAACCAUGAUCUUUGUUUCGUCACAGUGGGACACAGUUAUUCAUAUGGCUAGAAGGAAAAAGCCCUAUAAGGUUGUGCCACUAAAGUACACUGAUAUCAUAGAAUUUAAACAAUUUCAGAGUAACAGUACAAAGGUACAGAAAAACUCGGAAACAGGAACCAAGGUAGUCUGGUCAAAAAUGAAGUGGCUCAGAUAUACUAAGGAAGAGCCUGAUGUCUGUUUUUUUCAAAUACGAUUUUGAUGAUGAAUUUGAAAAAUUGAAAGUUUGGCUCUAGAAGACAACAAACAAAUCCUGUUGUAUCUCUACCAAUGAAGUAUCAUUCUGCCGCAAAGAAAAAAGGAUCUAUUGCAGCUGUGCAAGAGUGGUACUAUUCCUGAAGAAUUCCAUGAAUAUUACAAGGCUUUACCAGCAAAAAACAGUAUCAGAGAUUGUUUGCCAGAGCCAGAUGCCCUUGAAGAUGCAAGUAACGAUUCUGACAGUAACUAACUAUAAGUGUCAGAUUUACUACUACAUUUCAAAUGUGACUGACAAUGUGACAGUGUGUGAUUUAAGACAAAUUCUAAACAUGCUAAAUGUGUGUAUUAAGCUUUAUUCAAGUGCUUAUAUUGCAUAAUAUUACAUAAAAUGUAUUAUGAAAUUCACUAAAUUGUUAUAGAUGAUUCUUGUUACUUGAUGAAAAGACAGUCUAAGAAGAGCAGCCAAAUGGAGGCAUUUACAUAUAGGCCAUUUUUGACUUGAAAAGUCUUAAUCUAAGAAAAAGAAUGCAUCCUGCCAUAAUAAUCUAUUUUUCUAUAGAAUAUUUUUGUUUCCCAAAUAACUUACAUUUAUGUCAACAUUGCAUAUGCCAGAGGAUUCUGUUGCUUUAUAGAAUGUUUUUGACACUUACAAAAACUGUGAUAUGCAACAUCUUCACCAGCUAUCAGUUUAUAGCAUGUUCUGGCUCAGUACUGUUUCGAAAGUUAUAAUGGAAUCAUACAUGCCAAAACCAGAUAUCUUUCAAUGGAAUGUUUUGGUUAUUUAGUAUUUUGCAAAAAAAAAUGGACUUUAAGUUGUGCCAAAACAAUUUUUUCGAAUUUGACCUAAUUAACUAAAGACAUGUACAAAAUACAUAUAUCAUGUAUUAAAUAAUACUAUCGUAAAUAAUACUAUAGUUUUUAUAUCUCAAAAACACUUACUAUAAAAGAGAAGCAACAAAAAAAUGCUCUCCUGUAAAAUUUUAAGAAAUGGACAUAGCAGGUUCUGGCACUUACCCCUCGAUAUAGCAUGUGAAGUUGUACAUCUGACUUUAAUCUGACUUAAAAGUAUGCUUUUAAGCGAUUCGAUCGCACUUGUUAGAGGGAGAUAAAUAUGAAAUGACAUCAACAUUUGUUAAUGAUUCAAUCAAAAUAAAAUAUCUUUGCAAAUUAUCAGAAGAACAUUCUGAAAUGAGUAAAUCAUCAUAGAUGAUUUUAAGUUUCUUAUGGCCUUUAACAGUUAUGUGUUUAAAUUCAAUACUACAUGUAUACACGACAUUCGAUCCACGAGUCGAGUUUUAAUUUGUAGAGAUGCUCAUAAUAAAUGAAAACUUGUUACAUAUAGUGCAAAAUGAGGUAUUACAUGAACAAUAAUUCUCUUUGUUCUAGAUGAUCAGUUUGAAAAUUCACUUAUUAGAACUUUUUUGUAUAUUUUUAAUAUUUCUGUUUUUGUUUGACUAAACAGAAAUGCUGUGUCAACGUUUUACUUUGUACAACUGUAGUAGAACUUUUUACCCUUAUCACAUUGGUGAUAUACUAGCGGGAAAUUAGGAAAGAACUUUUGGCACCUAAAAACCAACAAAUGUGUUUCCCCUGGGACAAAUUUAUACCAGCUAAAGACGAAGAAUUGUGCCCAGAUGGCUUACUCCAUGAAUAUAAAAAAAUGCAAAAUGUCACCAUGUGUUGUGGAGAAUCUGAUGCAAUCAUUAACAGAUUGAUGGUCAAAUGAGCUUCAAAUCAUUCAGUAUAAUCUCGAGAUGUCGUUUCAGAUAGGUAUAACAGUAACUUUAAUCCUGAAAUGACAAACCUCAACCUGACAAAUUACAACUGUGGUGUAAAUAAAGGGAAGCAACCAGUAGCAAAACUUGUUGGACUGUCUACAGACAGAAAGCCUGUUCCAGAUGGAAUGUCCUUUAAAAUAUUUUGGAAUUCACAUUCGCCGUCGCACGCAUUGUCAGGACUGAAACACAUACACCACGACGGUACAGUUUAUGUUGAUCAGACCGGUUUCUACUACAUAUUCUCUCAAAUCAAAAUAAAACUUACUCAGAAAAAUGCAACGGACCACACAAAUGACCAAAUUGUCCGACAUUCUGUCCAUUUGAAUUCCCACAAAGGAAAUGGAGUUACACUUCUUGAAGAUGCAACAUCUCAGUGUGACAUUAUGACAGAAGAAUCAGAAGCAACCAGUAUUAUCGGAGGAGUCUUCAAACUGGAGACAGGGGACAAUGUUUAUGUUGCGACAUCACAUCCUGAUCGUCUGUCGGCUGACCUUUAUAACAGCCAUUUCAGCAUACAUAGCAUCUGAGUUGAAGCCCUUUCAGGAGGCAAUUUUGAUCGACAUAUGGAACAAUUUAAAAUGUUUUCAAGUUAUGGUAUAGGAAUAUACUAUAUGGAUCAUCAUUACUGGAUGACGAGUUUCUACUUUGAUACAAUUAAUAUUCAGAAACUUUCAGGUGCAUAAUGAGCUGGUUGAGUCCAUGCUUAUGAAUAUGGUUUCAAAUGUUAUUUUUUAUAAUUAUUUUCAUUAUUUUAUAUGGUUUACAAAUCGUGCGUUUUGUUUCCAUUGCUUUUGUGAUUCCAAAGAAAGUAAUAGUCAUUAUUCACACUGUCCUAAACUUUGGAACAUUGGGGUGCACUGUCGAGUAACUUUGGGACAUAUGAGGCUUGGUGGUGCGCACCAUUUACCGGGUUAAACUCUCUGCUGACCGUGCGAAUGUGGUGCCCACUGUGUAUUUAUUUGUUUUUCAUUGUUGAAUAUUUGACUUGUCUGCGUAUUUCUGUGUAAAUAUCAAUCAUUUUGUUAGAAAGUCCAAGCGUGCACAUCUAUAAAUAAAUUCCAUAUUCAGAA